This is a long non-coding RNA of Oncorhynchus tshawytscha (Chinook salmon), 3380 nucleotides long. The record is from Ensembl. Lineage: Eukaryota; Metazoa; Chordata; Actinopteri; Salmoniformes; Salmonidae.
UGUCAGUUCCCUGCUCUGUUCCCUGCUGCUGCAUCGUAUUGUUUCUGACACUGUUCCUGUCUCUUCGCUGUCCGUUACAAUGAAAUGUUUUACUCCCCGUACCUGCUUCGGAUACAGUUGCUAUCUACCUGAUGACGAGGUUCAUCAACAAGGUGCUGCAAGCGAUGGUGUUUGCCAGUGUCAGUGUUUGGCUACACAGCCUGCUUUCUGGUGGAUGGUUUUCAGUCAGGACAACUGGGGUCCCAAAGACCACCGCUCAGUUCUACAGGCAGGUCGUAAAGGACAACGGUUUCCCUGGUGAUGAGACCACCAGAGGUCAAAGGGUGUUACCCAUGUGACUUCCACUGGGGCGUGGCCGACUCAACCGUACAGGUCCAUUUCCACCCCUUCUCCCCUCAAUUCUUGGACCCCCAUCUGUACAGCUGGAACCUGACAGGGGACAGGGCGCUGUAUCCUGUCCAAGGGGUCAAGCUCCACACCAGGAUGAUUACCUGGCCAUCUGAGGUCACCUGGGCUUCUUUGAGUCCACAGGGGCAUCUCACUACCGCUUCGCUCUAAACUGGUCCCUCAUCCUGCCCCAUGGAGAUCUGUUUAAUGUGCACACAGAGGCCCUGAGGGUAGACACACUGUAUAGUGUGUAUUCAAUGUUUAAUACACAUGCAAACAUGCACGCCUGCAUGGAUACACAUUGCAUUUUAAAUCACUUUAAACUCUUUUUAACAGAUUCUAUCGCUGUCUCCUGACUGAGCUCCGCAAGCAGGGCCUGGAGGCCAUGGUCAUGCUCUACUACCCCAUGAACAGAGCCCCUCUGCUGGGCUUGCCUGGCCCGGUGCAUGGCUCCAGAGGCUGGCUGAACCGGAGCACGGUGGAGGCCAGGGCUACAGGGCUGGGCCCUGGGUGAGUUAUUGGAUCACCGUCAAUGAGCCCAACAGACUGAUGGAGUGGAGAGGCGCAGCAUCUGGCAGCCCAUAGCCUCCUGCUGGCCCACACUAAGGCCUGGAGGCUAUAUGAGAGGGAGCAUCUCAGCCAACAGAGGAUGUGUCCCUGGCCCUGCACGCAGACUGGGUAGAACACAUCAACCCCUUCCUGGAGUCACAUGCAACCACCGCUCAGAUUUCUGUGUUUUUUUUUUAACCUUUAUUUAACCAGCUCGUCAGUUAGAUGGCGUCAACCUAAAGAGCUUCUACAUCUGGAAACUGCAGGAUCGACACGUUCGGCCUCUUCACCUCUUUCCACCACCGGUCACAACCCAAAACCUCCAUCGCAGCCUAACGACGGAUCAUUGACUGCAGUGGUUUCCCUGGCAACAACGUCACAUCUUCCUGUAGGGUCAGCAACCGCCGGACAGUGUGUUCCAUCUGCGCUCGCAUCUCAGAGAACAAACCCCUGCUGUUCUUCACUGCAUGUCUCCUCAUCACGCUAGCUGUGCUAGUGGCAGUCGUCAUCGUCAGGAGGAAGAGGGCUAGGAGUAGGGGGUGCCGGUGUGUCCUGUCCCAUUAGGGAUGAAGUGUCAGCUGUGGGAGAGAGUGGCCCUGCAGCGUGUGACAAAGGAUCCGAGUGGUCAGCUGCUAGGCGUUUGGUCCUGUCGUAAUGGUUCUUGGGGACAGGUCUAGGAUCCGCUUACCCUCCUGAAAUCCAAACCUUGAACUGAGAGGAAAAACACAAAACUGACUGUAGAGCAGUGUCUAGGGGGAAACUUCAUUCUAAUCCACAUGGGAUUGUGCUCAACACAGCGGGAUCAGUGAGGGCCAGGGGGUCAUCUUUACCAAUACCAAGUGACUAAUAGUCUCUGUCUGAGCGCUAGAGAUCCCACAUAUUGAAAAACAAUGUAUCUCCAAUGAAUACAAUUGACAGUUUGUAGCCUAUAAACUAUCAGAAAUGUAUUAUGAAUCCUCAUGCUGCCAAGGCAGCAGCUACUCUUCCUGGGGUCCAGCUAAAUUAAUGCAGUUUAUACCAUUUUAAAAGCAUUACAAUACAUUCACAGAUUUCACAACACACUGUGUGCCCUCAGGCCCCUACUCCACCACUACCACAUAUUUACAGUACAAAAUCCAUUUGUCUGUAGUGCGUCUGUUAUGUGUGUAGGCAUGUGUCUGUGCCUAUGUUUGUGUUGCCUCACAGUCCCAGCUGUUCCAUAAGGUGUAUUUUAUAUAUUUUUUUUAAUCACAUUUUACUGCUUGCAUCAGUUACUUGAUGUGGACUAGAGUUCCAUGUAGUCAUGGCUCUAUGUAGUACUGUACGCCUCCCAUAGUCUGUUCUGGACUUGGGGACUGUGAAGAGAUCUCUGGUGACAUGUCUUGUGGGGUAUGCAUAGAUGUCCGAGCUGUGCUGCAGUAGUUCAAACAGACAACUCGGUGCUUUAAACAUGUCAAUACCUCUCAUAAAUACAAGUAGUGAUGUAGUCAAUCUAUCGACCACUUUGAGCAAGGAGAGAUUGACAUGCAUAUUAAUAUUAGCUCUCUGUGUACAUCCAAGGCCCAGCCGUGCUGCCCUGUUCUGAGCCAAUUGCAAUUUUCCUAAGUCCCUUUUUGUGGCACAUGACCACAUGACUGAACAAUAGUCCAGGUGAGACAAAACUAGGGCCUGUAUGACCUGCCUUGUUGAUAGUGUUAAGAAGGUAGAAACUAGGGCCUGUAGGACCUGCCUUGUUGAUAGUGUUGUUAAGAAGGUAGAGCAGCGCUUUAUUAUGGACUUUUUUAUUCUCCCCAUCUUAGCUACUGUUGUAUCAAUAUAUUUUGACCAUGACAGUUUACAAUCCAGGGUUACUCCAUGCAGUUUGGUCACCUGAUUUGUCCCAAAUACAAUGAUUUUAGUUUUAGAAAUAUUUAUGACUAACUUAUUCCUUGCCACCCACUCUGAAACUAACUGCACCUCUUUGUUAAGCAGUCAUUUUGGUCGCUGUAGUAGCUGACAUGUAUAGUGUUGAGUCAUCCGCAUACAUAGACACUCUGGCUUUACUCAAAGCCAGUGGCAGGUCAUUAAUAAAGAUUGAAAAAAGUAAGGGGCCUAGACUGAUUGUGUAUCGUGUAGGCCAACAAUAGACUGCCCUGUAUGACUUGUUAGUGUGCAUCACUCAGUGUCCUGAUCUCAUGUCUUGGAGACUUGUAAUCAUAGGGAGUUCACAGGGCGUCUGAACUGAUGGCAGAAGUAUUUUUCUCCCUUGGCUCCAGAGCCAUGUUAUCUAUGGAUGGCCAACUCAAGCACUUGUUUAGUUCGACUAAUUUAUUGCGCAAUUUUAUUGAGGGGGUAAAGAUGAUGUGUGAUGUCAUUGUAAAAACAUAUGUUAUUAUGUAAAUUAAACCAUAAUUUGCUAUAUAUGAAAUUCAAUAAAAUACAACUGUGUUGCAGCUUUCCCUUUUUCAAAUUGAUGUUAUCUGUUG